Molecule: long non-coding RNA, 300 nt
Filed under: Prunus persica (peach)
Lineage: Eukaryota; Viridiplantae; Streptophyta; Magnoliopsida; Rosales; Rosaceae
Description: long non-coding RNA (PPER_LNC000988)
Source: RNAcentral
UUUUUCCUCAUCUUUGCCAACCACCAUAUAUACUUUUAAUUAUCUGCUUCAAUUUUCUCUUCUGUAAUCAUGUCAUUAAACGAAUUUUUAUUACACUCUAUUUACAAUCUGACAACGACCACAAUUUAAUCUUAACCGUCAGACUUAAUUUUUCUUGAAAAAAUAGACAUUGACUCAGGUAUACGUGUAUGGCACCUCUUUUUGUAAUUAAAAAAAGUGUUAAAAUACAGUAAUUGUUUUUAACUACUUGAGUUACAAGUUCCUUUUAUUGAUUAUAUUUUAACUCAAGCUUAAUUAAGG